GACGAACGCUGGCGGCGUGCUUAACACAUGCAAGUCGAACGAUGAAGCCUAGCUUGCUAGGUGGAUUAGUGGCGAACGGGUGAGUAAUACGUGAGUAACCUACCUUUAACUCUGGGAUAAGCCUGGGAAACUGGGUCUAAUACCGGAUACGACCAAUCUCCGCAUGGGGUGUUGGUGGAAAGCGUUAUGUAGUGGUUAUAGAUGGGCUCACGGCCUAUCAGCUUGUUGGUGAGGUAACGGCUCACCAAGGCGACGACGGGUAGCCGGCCUGAGAGGGUGACCGGCCACACUGGGACUGAGACACGGCCCAGACUCCUACGGGAGGCAGCAGUGGGGAAUAUUGCACAAUGGGCGCAAGCCUGAUGCAGCGACGCCGCGUGAGGGAUGACGGCCUUCGGGUUGUAAACCUCUGUUAGCAGGGAAGAAGAGAGAUUGACGGUACCUGCAGAGAAAGCGCCGGCUAACUACGUGCCAGCAGCCGCGGUAAUACGUAGGGCGCGAGCGUUGUCCGGAAUUAUUGGGCGUAAAGAGCUUGUAGGCGGUUUGUCUCGUCUGCUGUGAAAGGCCGGGGCUUAACUCCUUGUAUUGCAGUGGGUACGGGCAGACUAGAGUGCAGUAGGGGAGACUGGGAAUUCCUGGUGUAGCUGGUGAAUGCGCAGAUAUCAUGAGGACCCCGAUGGCGAAGGUGGUCUCUUGGGCUGUGACUGAUGCUGAUGAACGAAAUGCUUGUGGUAGCGAACAGUAUUAAGAUCCUCUGGUAAGUGCGAGGGUGAAUUCCAUAGUGGUAAUUUAGUUUUUCGAUGCCCUGUGACCUGGGGGGGGGAAAAAAAAACGAAAUUAUAUGUUCUCAUGUGUGUUGUUUAAUUGUGGUGUUACCAUAUUCAUGUGUAUGUGGUGAUGAUUGAAUAUGUGUACUUGUAUGCAUGCUGUGACUUGAAUGUUCGUGUUGUGAUGAUAGGUUUCUGUGUUGUGUGUGUGUUUUGUUAUGGUGUAUGUGUGUGGUGAUGUGUGCGCUUGUGG
Molecule: ribosomal RNA, 1020 nt
Filed under: uncultured Prevotella sp.
Lineage: Bacteria; Pseudomonadati; Bacteroidota; Bacteroidia; Bacteroidales; Prevotellaceae
Description: bacterial SSU rRNA
Rfam family: Bacterial small subunit ribosomal RNA (bases 1-805)
Source: RNAcentral